AGAGAAGAACUCCACUUUCAGAUCGUGAAGCAGGUCGUCUUCAUUCACAGAGACCGACUGAUCACAGAAAGAUGAAUGCUCUUCUGAUCACUGUCCUUGUCCUGGUGGUUGGAGGGGACGCAGCCUCCAAUCUUUCUCCUUGUAGCAGGAUUUCUGAUGAAAAGAUCUAUGAAAGAUUUAUUCAAAACCACGUUCUGCAGGAGCAUUUUGACACUUCCUCAGAUGUUCAAUGGAAAUCUUACCUGCAAAGAAACAAACUCUGUCGCAGACGUACGCAGUCCUUCGUUGAUGUAGGAGAUGAACGUCUUUAUGUGAACAUCUGCAACGGCAAAGGGAUGGUUAAAGAGAUGAACUUGUGCACCAGUAAAAAGAAAGUUUGGCUGCAUGAUCUCAAUGUCAAUACAGAUGAUUGCAGCGUUACUCAUCUUAGCCAAUAUAGAUAUGUGACUGUCGCUUGUGACAUAGUCAACAAUCUCUGCCUUCCUGUUCACUUUGAAAGCAGCCAAGACAGUGGGCCAAACGGCAACGCUCAAACCUGCAGGUCAUAAACUAAUCUGUGGUUUGACUUUGGAAACCAGAGUCUUCCAGGUUUGGCAAAAAUGCUGUUUUGCUUUGCUGCAUCUCUCCAUAUCCAGCUUUAGUUCAGCCUUUAAAUGCUUUGAGUUACGUUUAGAUGAGUUUAUUUUAGAAAUACACCAGAGAAAUCACACAAUCAAUGAAAGACAGUGUGCAAUUUAGUUUUUAAUAUUUCAGCGGUGAGAACCUUUGUUGGUGGUUUGAUUUUGAGACCUGAGAACUCAAAAACUAAUUUGUUUUGUAAAACAUCUGGGAGUUUUGGUUGUAAUCUUGAAUUGAGAAGUUAUUCUUUCUUACCUAAUUAGAGUUGCCAUUAAAUUAUUAGUCCAUUUGUCCAGAGCAUCAAGUUACCAUGACAUCCAGCUAUUUACGUGGGACAACAGAAAUGUGACUUAAAUUUAUCUACGUCUCUGAAUCACAUAGAUUCUAUACAUGGGAAAUACUUGAUAUACUUUUGCAUCCCUGAUAAAUAUAUAUGAAGUAACAAUCAUAACAAUAAAGUUUUAUAUUUUACAGCCAAAUAAUGAAAUGUUUUCUAAGUGCUGUGAACAACUUUUUGUGUUUAAAUGAUUGUUUUGCUAAAGAUGUUUCCAAAGCUGUGCAGCAUGUUGCUUUGU
Molecule: long non-coding RNA, 1193 nt
Organism: Xiphophorus maculatus (southern platyfish)
Lineage: Eukaryota; Metazoa; Chordata; Actinopteri; Cyprinodontiformes; Poeciliidae
Exons: 3
Source: RefSeq, a predicted model, not a curated record